Molecule: ribosomal RNA, 506 nt
Filed under: uncultured bacterium
Lineage: Bacteria
Description: partial 16S ribosomal RNA
Rfam family: Bacterial small subunit ribosomal RNA
Source: RNAcentral
AGUGAACGCUGGCGGUAGGCCUAACGCAUGCAAGUCGAACGGCAGCACAGGAGAGCUUGCUCUCUGGGUGGCGAGUGGCGGACGGGUGAGGAAUACAUCGGAAUCUACUCUGUCGUGGGGGAUAACGUAGGGAAACUUACGCUAAUACCGCAUACGACCUACGGGUGAAAGCAGGGGACCUUCGGGCCUUGCGCGAUUGAAUGAGCCGAUGUCGGAUUAGCUAGUUGGCGGGGUAAAGGCCCACCAAGGCGACGAUCCGUAGCUGGUCUGAGAGGAUGAUCAGCCACACUGGAACUGAGACACGGUCCAGACUCCCACGGGAGGCAGCAGUGGGGAAUAUUGGACAAUGGGCGCAAGCCUGAUCCAGCCAUACCGCGUGGGUGAAGAAGGCCUUCGGGUUGUAAAGCCCUUUUGUUGGGAAAGAAAUCCAGCUGGCUAAUACCCGGUUGGGAUGACGGUACCCAAAGAAUAAGCACCGGCUAACUUCGUGCCAGCAGCCGCCGUAA